Molecule: ribosomal RNA, 442 nt
Filed under: uncultured bacterium
Lineage: Bacteria
Description: partial 16S ribosomal RNA
Rfam family: Bacterial small subunit ribosomal RNA
Source: RNAcentral
CCUACGGGAGGCAGCAGUAGGGAAUCUUUCACAAUGGGCGAAAGCCUGAUGGAGCAACGCCGCGUGCAGGAUGAAGGCCUUCGGGUUGUAAACUGCUUUUAUAAGCGAGAAAUAUGAUGGUAACUUAUGAAUAAGGAUCGGCUAACUACGUGCCAGCAGCCGCGGUCAUACGUAGGAUCCGAGCAUUAUCCGGAGUGACUGGGUGUAAAGAGUUGCGUAGGUGGCAUAAUAAGUAGCUAUGGAAAUCUGGUGGCUCAACCAUUCAGACUAUUAGCUAAACUGUUAAGCUCGAGACCGUUAGGGGUAACUGGAAUUUCUAGUGUAGGAGUGAAAUCCGUAGAUAUUAGAAGGAACACCAAUAGCGUAGGCAGGUUGCUGGGACGGUUCUGACACUAAGGCACGAAAGCGUAGGGAGCAAACGGGAUUAGAUACCCGAGUAGUC